RNAcentral lists this transfer RNA (58 nucleotides) under Acidimicrobiaceae bacterium. RNAcentral describes it as "tRNA-Arg". It matches the Rfam family "tRNA", at positions 8 to 62 of the family's 71-position model. Rfam says of the family: Transfer RNA (tRNA) molecules are approximately 80 nucleotides in length. Their secondary structure includes four short double-helical elements and three loops (D, anti-codon, and T loops). The record is from RNAcentral. Lineage: Bacteria; Bacillati; Actinomycetota; Acidimicrobiia; Acidimicrobiales; Acidimicrobiaceae.
UAGCUCAAUUGGAUAGAGCAUCUGACUACGGAUCAGAAGGUUGGGGGUUCGAGUCCCU